This 596-nucleotide ribosomal RNA is filed under the name Corymorpha forbesii. RNAcentral's name for it is "partial large subunit ribosomal RNA". It matches the Rfam family "Bacterial large subunit ribosomal RNA", at positions 1833 to 2597 of the family's 2925-position model. Lineage: Eukaryota; Metazoa; Cnidaria; Hydrozoa; Anthoathecata; Corymorphidae. The record is from RNAcentral.
GCUCAUGAAGACAUCAUAAGUGGGGCCUGCCCAGUGGAAAAUAAAGUAAAUAGUAAUUUAUUUAAAUUUUUUUAAACGGAUGCGGUAACUCUGACUGUAAUAAAGUAGCAUAAUAAAUUGUCACUUAAUUGGUGAAGGGAAUGAAUGGUUAAACGAAUUUCUCACUGUUUUAUUUAAAAUGGUUUUAAAAUUGUAGUAAUAGUGAAGAUACUAUUUCAUACCGUAAGACGAAAAGACCCUAUAGAGCUUUACUAUAAUUUUUUUCUUAAAUUAAUUAUUAACCUUAGUAAUAAUAUAAAAAAAUUGGUAGUUUAGUUGGGGCGACUAUUUUCUAUAGUAAACGAAAAUAAGCAAAAUAAUAGAUUUAUUUAUUGUAUAAUUUAAUUAUUUAACAGUUACUAACGUAGGCUAUAAUGACCCGUUACAUUCUUUAGAGCGAAGUAACGACUAAUUGAUAAAAGCUACCUUAGGGAUAACAGGAUAAUUUUGAUUUAGAGUUCAUAUCAACUUCAAAGUUUGUCACCUCUAUGUUGAAUUGAGAUAUCCUAGUAAUGCAGAAGUUACUAAGGGUUGGUCUGUUCGACCAUUAAAAUCUU